CGAAAGCCUGACGGAGCAAGACCGCGUGAGGGAGGAAGGCCUGUGGGUUGUAAACCUCUUUUCUCAGGGAAGAAGAUCUGACGGUACCUGAGGAAUCAGCAUCGGCUAACUCCGUGCCAGCAGCCGCGGUAAUACGGAGGAUGCAAGCGUUAUCCGGAAUUAUUGGGCGUAAAGCGUCCGCAGGUGGCUGUUCAAGUCUGCUGUCAAAGUCCAGGGCUUAACUCUGGGAAGGCAGUGGAAACUGGAUAGCUAGAGUACGGUAGGGGUAGCGGGAAUUCCCAGUGUAGCGGUGAAAUGCGUAGAUAUUGGGAGGAACACCAGCGGCGAAGGCGCGCUACUGGGCCUGUACUGACACUGAGGGACGAAAGCUAGGGGAGCG
RNAcentral lists this ribosomal RNA (379 nucleotides) under uncultured Crocosphaera sp. RNAcentral describes it as "bacterial SSU rRNA". It matches the Rfam family "Bacterial small subunit ribosomal RNA", at positions 376 to 770 of the family's 1533-position model. Lineage: Bacteria; Bacillati; Cyanobacteriota; Cyanophyceae; Chroococcales; Aphanothecaceae. The record is from RNAcentral.